UACGUAGGGUGCAAGCGUUAUCCGGAAUUAUUGAGCGUAAAGAGCUCGUAGGCGGUUUGUCGCGUCUGCUGUGAAAACUGGAGGCUCAACCUCCAGCCUGCAGUGGGUACGGGCAGACUAGAGUGCGGUAGGGGAGAUUGGAAUUCCUGGUGUAGCGGUGGAAUGCGCAGAUAUCAGGAGGAACACCGAUGGCGAAGGCAGAUCUCUGGGCCAUAACUGACGCUGAGGAGCGAAAGCAUGGGGAGCGAACAGG
This 253-nucleotide ribosomal RNA is filed under the name uncultured bacterium. RNAcentral describes it as "partial 16S ribosomal RNA". It matches the Rfam family "Bacterial small subunit ribosomal RNA", at positions 524 to 776 of the family's 1533-position model. The record is from RNAcentral.